RNAcentral lists this ribosomal RNA (253 nucleotides) under uncultured bacterium. RNAcentral describes it as "partial 16S ribosomal RNA". It matches the Rfam family "Bacterial small subunit ribosomal RNA", at positions 524 to 776 of the family's 1533-position model. The record is from RNAcentral.
UACAGAGGGUGCGAGCGUUGUUCGGAAUUAUUGGGCGUAAAGGGCGCGUAGGCGGUUUGGUAAGUCUUGUGUGAAAUCUCCAGGCUCAACCUGGAGUCUGCACGAGAAACUGCCGGGCUUGAGUGUGGGAGAGGUGAGUGGAAUUCCUGGUGUAGCGGUGAAAUGCGUAUAUAUCAGGAGGAACACCUGUGGCGAAAGCGGCUCACUGGACCACAACUGACGCUGAUGCACGAAAGCUAGGGGAGCAAACAGG